Molecule: ribosomal RNA, 252 nt
Filed under: uncultured bacterium
Lineage: Bacteria
Description: partial 16S ribosomal RNA
Rfam family: Bacterial small subunit ribosomal RNA
Source: RNAcentral
UACGUAGGCGGCAAGCGUUACCCGGAAUUACUGGGCGUAAAGCGUGCGCAGGUGGUUUGAUAAGUUUUUGUUAAAAUACGUUGGCUUAACCAACGGAUCGCAAAAAUACUGUUAGACUAGAGGAAGCUAGGGGGUAUCGGAACAGAUGGUGAAGCAGUGAAAUGCGUUGAUAUCAUCUGGAACACCCAAGGCGAAGGCAGGUACCUGGGGCUUUCCUGACACUGUUGCACGAAAGCACGGGGAGCGAACCGG